This 557-nucleotide ribosomal RNA is filed under the name uncultured bacterium. RNAcentral's name for it is "bacterial SSU rRNA". It matches the Rfam family "Bacterial small subunit ribosomal RNA", at positions 166 to 716 of the family's 1533-position model. The record is from RNAcentral.
AUACCGCAUACGAUCUACGGAUGAAAGCAGGGGACCGCAAGGCCUUGCGCUCAUGGAGCGGCCGAUGGCAGAUUAGGUAGUUGGUGGGAUAAAAGCUUACCAAGCCGACGAUCUGUAGCUGGUCUGAGAGGACGACCAGCCACACUGGGGACUGAGACACGGCCCAGACUCCUACGGGAGGCAGCAGUGGGGAAUUUUGGACAAUGGGGCGAAAGCCUGAUCCAGCCAUGCCGCGUGCAGGAUGAAGGCCUUCGGGUUGUAAACUGCUUUUGUACGGAACGAAAAGGUCUUUUCUAAUAAAGAAGGCUCAUGACGGUACCGUAAGAAUAAGCACCGGCUAACUACGUGCCAGCAGCCGCGGUAAUACGUAGGGUGCAAGCGUUAAUCGGAAUUACUGGGCGUAAAGCGUGCGCAGGCGGUUAUAUAAGACAGAUGUGAAAUCCCCGGGCUCAACCUGGGAACUGCAUUAGUGACUGUAUAGCUAGAGUGCGGCAGAGGGGGAUGGAAUUCCGCGUGUAGCAGUGAAAUGCGUAGAUAUGCGGAGGAACACCGAUGGC